Molecule: transfer RNA, 72 nt
Filed under: Arabidopsis thaliana (thale cress)
Lineage: Eukaryota; Viridiplantae; Streptophyta; Magnoliopsida; Brassicales; Brassicaceae
Also listed under: 1 other name
Description: tRNA AT3G07185
Rfam family: tRNA
About the family: Transfer RNA (tRNA) molecules are approximately 80 nucleotides in length. Their secondary structure includes four short double-helical elements and three loops (D, anti-codon, and T loops). Further hydrogen bonds mediate the characteristic L-shaped molecular structure. tRNAs have two regions of fundamental functional importance: the anti-codon, which is responsible for specific mRNA codon recognition, and the 3' end, to which the tRNAs corresponding amino acid is attached (by aminoacyl-tRNA synthetases). tRNAs cope with the degeneracy of the genetic code in two manners: having more than one tRNA (with a specific anti-codon) for a particular amino acid; and 'wobble' base-pairing, i.e. permitting non-standard base-pairing at the 3rd anti-codon position.
Source: Rfam by way of RNAcentral
GCCGUCUUAGCUCAGCGGUAGAGCGCGUGGCUUUUAACCACGUGGCCGUGGGUUCGAUCCCCACAGACGGCG